This 939-nucleotide ribosomal RNA is filed under the name uncultured bacterium. RNAcentral describes it as "bacterial SSU rRNA". It matches the Rfam family "Bacterial small subunit ribosomal RNA", at positions 8 to 916 of the family's 1533-position model. The record is from RNAcentral.
AGAGUUUGAUCAUGGCUCAGGACGAACGCUGGCGGCGUGCCUAAUACAUGCAAGUCGAGCGCGGGAAGCAGACUGAUCCCUUCGGGGUGACGUCUGUGGAACGAGCGGCGGACGGGUGAGUAACACGUGGGCAACCUGCCUGUAAGAUCGGGAUAACUUGCGGAAACGUGAGCUAAUACCGGAUAAUGCUCCACACCUCCUGGUGUGGAGAUGAAAGACGGUUUUGCUGUCACUUACAGAUGGGCCCGCGGCGCAUUAGCUAGUUGGUGGGGUAAUGGCCUACCAAGGCGACGAUGCGUAGCCGACCUGAGAGGGUGAUCGGCCACACUGGAACUGAGACACGGCCCAGACUCCUACGGGAGGCAGCAGUAGGGAAUCUUCCGCAAUGGACGAAAGUCUGACGGAGCAACGCCGCGUGAGCGAUGAAGGUCUUCGGAUCGUAAAGCUCUGUUGUUAGGGAAGAACAAGUGCGAGAGUAACUGCUCGCACCUUGACGGUACCUAACCAGAAAGCCACGGCUAACUACGUGCCAGCAGCCGCGGUAAUACGUAGGUGGCAAGCGUUGUCCGGAAUUAUUGGGCGUAAAGGGCUCGCAGGCGGUCUUCUAAGUCUGAUGUGAAAUCUUGCGGCUUAACCGAAAGCGGUCAUUGGAAACUGGAGGACUUGAGUACAGAAGAGGAGAGUGGAAUUCCACGUGUAGCGGUGAAAUGCGUAGAGAUGUGGAGGAACACCAGUGGCGAAGGCGACUCUCUGGUCUGUAACUGACGCUGAGGAGCGAAAGCGUGGGGAGCAAACAGGAUUAGAUACCCUGGUAGUCCACGCCGUAAACGAUGAGUGCUAGGUGUUAGGGGGUUUCCGCCCCUUAGUGCUGCAGUUAACGCAUUAAGCACUCCGCCUGGGGAGUACGGCCGCAAGGCUGAAACUCAAAUGAAUUGACGG